UAGAUAUUAGAGAGACUAUUAAGCUAUAUCAUAUUGGGUCUUAGUAAUAAGAAGGAGAAUAGGCCAGAAUAAAGGAGAGAGUAGAGGCCCACGUAAAUAGCUUCAUCAGCCCACUCAAACAGUAAUCAAUAAAUAGAAGAAUCUUGAAUGAAGCAUGGCAUGCAAAAUCUGGUAAAUUCUGUUACAACUCCUAAUCACUUUUCUCUCAAUUCUUCUCUCCCAAUUCUCUCUCUCUCUCUAACGACCUUUCUAACUCCUAUCUCUCUUCUUCUUCUUUCAGGUUAACAUGGAGGAUUAGUUAGAAUCAAUAUUGUAG
RNAcentral lists this long non-coding RNA (316 nucleotides) under Nicotiana tabacum (common tobacco). Its description in RNAcentral is "long non-coding RNA (NTAB_LNC002990)". Lineage: Eukaryota; Viridiplantae; Streptophyta; Magnoliopsida; Solanales; Solanaceae. The record is from RNAcentral.